This 291-nucleotide ribosomal RNA is filed under the name Triticum aestivum (bread wheat). Its description in RNAcentral is "partial small subunit ribosomal RNA". Lineage: Eukaryota; Viridiplantae; Streptophyta; Magnoliopsida; Poales; Poaceae. The record is from RNAcentral.
AUGACAUAUUGUCUUGAACAUCCUAGAAGGACGAUGCUCCUGAUGCCUGUAGAACCUUUUGAACCUAAUAAAUCAUGCUAUGUCUGCUCUGAGACCCCUCUUCUGCUGGAUGUCAACACUAAGGCCACGAAGCUUAGGGAGGUUAUCGACAAGAUUAUAAAAAGCAAACUUGGAAUGAUCCUCUCGUUGGUAAUGAUUGGAUCUACACUUGUUUUUGAGGAUGGUGAUGGCUUAGAGGAAGACGAGGCUGCAAACUAUGCUUCAAACCUUGAGAAUGUACUAUCCUCAUAG